UGACGAGUUUGAUCCUGGCUCAGAUUGAACGCUGGCGGUAUGCCUUACACAUGCAAGUCGAACGGUAGAGGAGCAAUCCUUGAGAGUGGCGAACGGGUGAGUAAUACAUCGGAACGUGCCCAGUCGUGGGGAUAACGUAGCGAAAGGCUACGCUAAUACCGCAUACGACCUGAGGGUGAAAGCGGGGGACCUGCAAGGGCCUCGCGCGAUUGGAGCGGCCGAUGGCAGAUUAGGUAGUUGGUGGGUAAAGGCCCACCAAGCCGACGAUCUGUAGCUGGUCUGAGAGGACGACCAGCCACACUGGAACUGAGACACGGUCCAGACU
Molecule: ribosomal RNA, 325 nt
Filed under: uncultured Burkholderiales bacterium
Lineage: Bacteria; Pseudomonadati; Pseudomonadota; Betaproteobacteria; Burkholderiales
Description: bacterial SSU rRNA
Rfam family: Bacterial small subunit ribosomal RNA
Source: RNAcentral